GUCAUGUCUUGUUUAUGUUACCAGGUCUGGAGCAGUAAGGGACGGGCAUAAGUAGAGCAACAUGCCUGUUAAAACAGAGAUGGCUUCGUUGGAUCCGCCUCCUCCAGCUAAUUCUGGACAACCGGGCGUUACUCGCAGCCUCCUUUACAACGGGUCUAGGUUCCAGGGACACCAGAAAUCCAAGGGUCAAUCAUACGACGUUGAGGUGGUGUUGCAGCAUGUAGAUGAAGCUAAUUCCUACCUGUGUGGCUAUCUCAAAAUUAAGGGCCUGACCGAGGAGUAUCCAACAUUAACGACUUUCUUCGAUGGUGAAAUUAUUAGCGAAAAAUUUCCAUUCCUCACUCGAAAAUGGGAUGCGGACGAGGAGGUCGACAAGAAACAUUGGGGAAAAUUUCCGCCCUUCUAUCAGUAUACUAAAACCUUCAACUCCGAUACAUUUGACUACAGUGUGUUGAAGGAUUCGGAACACGUAUUUAUGCGAUGGAAGGAACACUUCCUUGUUCCAGACCACACUGUUAAGGACAUAAAUGGAGCAUCAUUUGCGGGUUUUUAUUAUAUCUGUUUCCAGAAGAGUGCAGCCACUAUUGAUGGAUAUUAUUAUCACAGAACUUCAGAAUGGAACACAUCCUGAUCGCUAAACGAGGGAUACCUGUACUGUACAAGCUACCAUUAAAUACUCCUGGCUCUAGUUCUCCCAAGAGGAGGAGACAUACACUGACUUUAGUAAAGUCAACCUGCAGAAAAGGUAUCAGUCCCUGAAUCUGACGCAUGUACCGGAACACAGCGUCCAGAUUUAUGAAUUCAGAUAAAGGGGCUCAAAUGGGCGUUGCUACUCUCAAGGCUUAGUGCAUAUGUGAUUUAUAUUUUAUUUGUUCCUCUUUAAAAAAAAUAUGUUUUAUUGGAAUGUUUGUGACUCUUUUAUUAGAUAGAGCUUAAUAACUCUAGUAAUCCAGUGGCUGAGCAUGGACCUGUGUGACUUUAUAUGUCCCUUAAAUUAUUCUUUAUUUUUAGUUAGUGUACCAUUUAAGGUAAGAGAAAAGUUAGGGUGACAUUCCUCAAACUGUUAAGUUACUGAGAUAUAGACUUUUAAGACUUCCAUAUGAUGCGACUAGAGAAAAUGUUUAUUUCUUCAGUGGAAGAACAUAUUUCGUUCCUUAAUGUAAAUUUUUUUUUUAUAAUUGCCUUCUUUUAUAUCAUAUGCAGUAUUAUAGCUGAGUACAGUACAAAUUAAAAUGUUUCAUAUGGUGAAAUUUAAGAAUAUAUGGAAAGGCAGAAUAAUAUGUCCAACAAAGGUUUCAUUUUCUCCCGUAAAUAACAUUUAUGGGAUUAUGGCGGUUAAUACAAAAUACUGUAGUUACAGUGUCAUAUUGUUUAUCAAAAUUCUUAUGAUUUAUAUGACUAUUUUUCGAGCAGGUUCUGUGUACUCAUACAUAAGCAAAACUCCAAAAACCUCACCCAUUUCCUGCUUUGAAAAUGUGUGAAGUUACGGUGUCCAGAAUACCGUUGCAAUGUAUUGUUUGUUCUCUGAACAUAUAACUAACUGCAAUUAUUUUGAGGUAAAUAAUAUCUCAAUGUGCCACGUAUUCCUUUCCUCUUGUCUCCAAUGAUGCAGGGUGAUUAUUUAUUUGAGAACCUGAAAUAAUUCCUGUACACUAAAAACUAUAUCAGUUUCUGAACCUAAUAUGUUGCGUAGCUGUAGCCUAAUGUAACAGAAAGACGUGACAUAAUCCUGAGAGUUAUCAGGUAUGACAUGAUUUGUUACUUGAUCCAUCAGUGGGGUUUAAUGGUUUUCACUCAGUUGUGCCAUGGCACUCACUGUGUUUGUUGUGUUGUGAGUGCCAUGACAUGACAUGACAGAGUGAAAACCGUUAAACGCCAUUGACGGACAACACAAAUACUAUCCCCAAACACAGCCCAUAAACAUAACACAGUAAAUACAAAUACAGUGAGUGCCAUGGCGUGACUGAGUAAAAACCGUUAAGCCCUGCUGGCAGGUCACGUGAUAAAUCAUGUCAUACCUGAGAACUCUCAGGAUCAUGUUACAUCUUUCUAUAGCAUUAGGCUACAUUUACGCAACAUAUUAGGUUCCUAACUGAUGUAGUUUUUAGGGUACAGUAUAGAAAUUAUUUUGGGUUCUCAAAUAAAGAAAUCACCCUGUACCUACACCGUUUUUUGAAGCUCAAUUAAUAGUUGGCACCUGGUACUGCUGAGAACAAUGUAGAACUACGCUUAACAACAAAUUUACCACACCUGAAUUGCUUAAAUACUUGUGGAGCAGUUUCUGGUAGCCUGUGCAUGUCUUCAAGGUACAGAGAAGCCUAUCUUAAGUAAUUGGUCCUGUCAAAUGUGUCAAACAAAGACAAGGCAGACUGUACACUCUACAGAUGGAGAUCCCAAUUUUGCUGUCAGCUCUCAUUAGAUUUAUAGCAACAAAUACUAUUGAAUGAAGGUUUCCCAGCAAGAGAUUGUCUCAGAUUCCAAUAUGUGCUUUGUUCUGAAUUCCUCAAAAUCAACAAAGAGCUGGCUGGAACAUUGAUCAAAAGCUACCAGACUUUCUUUAGCUUUUGUUCUUUCUGAAAUGUUAAGCUUCAGAUUCUGUAGAUGCUGGAUAGGUUCUUCAUAACUGUUUGUUCCACACUCUUCAAAAAAUCGGCACCACUGUCUUAUAAGUAUAUAGCCUUAUACAUCCUAGUACUGUACGUACUAUCUUAAUCAUGUGAAAAGAUCCUAAACUGAGAAUGAUGUCUUUAAACUCAUCUGGAUGCCAUAGCAUUAUCUCUCUGGCAAUGUGGUACACUCCCUCAUCACAGAAUGCUGGCAAUUUAUCCUGAGUUAACUGAUCAAGUCCAUUUUGAAAAUUUUUCGAAGCAGUGUAGACAGUUUUAUAAUAUGUAAAGGGAUGUGGCAGUAUGGGAAGAAGUCCUACAAAAUUCUCAGGAACUGACUCAUCAGUAACUUGAUCAUUGAAAGCACUCCAUGAUAGUGUACUUUUCUGAUUCACUAUAUCUGAUAAAGACUUUGUCUGCAUCAGACAGAUCUAACGUAGACAUACACCAAGCCAUGUCUUUGUGUCUAAUAUCUGUAUAGGCCUGCUUAUCCAUUGUAAAUAAAUCUUCUUGGACAUUGUAAGUUUAUGGAAUAUCUGCUAUUUUAGCAAGUUUGAUAAACUAUUUAAGUGUUGCCCUGACUUUAAUUUUACCUAAAGUGGUACACUAACUGAAAAUAAAGAAUAAUUUAGGUGACAUAUAAAGUCACACAGGACCAUGCUCAGCCACUGGACUAUUGUAUGUAUCAGUCAGCCGUGCUGUAUCAUGCAUUGAAGAAAAGCAGCUCAUACAUUUGUUUCAAGUUACUUGAAAGUUCCCUCUUGUUCAUUUGACUUUGUUGAUGUUACAUUAUUUUUGUAUACAGUACAGUACUUCACGAAAAUAAUGGAUUGCUUCCCCGGGCAAUCUUUGAAAUGUGAUCGGCCCAUUUUAAUGUAACUAAUAGAUUUAGUUAUGCGAUUUCGCUUUCUCAUUAACUUACUGUUAAGUGUUUAGGGACUUGUUUCUGAAAUGAAUGUAAAAAAAAAAUGUUUUUCUUCAUAAAAGAACAGCAUUUCUUUAGUACUGUUUAUGCCAUUAUAAAUAUAUAAAUAAAUAUAUAUAUAUAUAUUUUUCAUUACUUCACUUAUAAGAUGGGUUAGAGAAAGACCAAUUCCUUGUCAUAUGGUUAUGAGGUGAACUGUUAAGAAGAAUCAUUGAUACAGGAAAUAUUAGAUAAAAUUAGUUUUUUUUUUUCAAUUGACCAUAACAGUGGUUCUUGUUGCAUCAAGGAAAACCAUUUUUAAAUAUCUCAAUUUAGUGACAAGUGAGUAUGAUCUUAUGAUAUUUUAGUGUUUGUAAUUUUAUUUAAUGACUAGUCUUUUCCACUUUAUGAAUAAAAUUCAAUUGAAAUUUGUUGGAGUUGGUGUUCAGAGGCAAUAAACUUUAUAUUAGCUCCCAAAUUUAAUCGUGAUAAACAAAGCUAUCAUCAAGAGCUUCAGUAGGAACCCUUGGUUAUUCUCAGUGUUGUGUCAGGGACCUAGAGUUGGGAUAUUAUUAGGGAAAAGCAUUAGGAUAAUAUUGAGUCAUGAACCCACACAAGUUCUACUCUGCAAGAGAUGUGAAUUGUUAUAAAGUGCAGCUGUUAUCUUCAGAUUUGACUGUUGUCUUUUAUUAGAGUACAGUACGUAUAAUACAAUGCUUUUAAAUGACAUGUUUUAUCAGUACACUUACGUAUGGAUAUUUAUUCUAAAUGGAAUAACCAUUUCUCUCAUUACAGUGAGUUAAGUAUUUUGUGAAAGGUUUUUAAAUUGAUGAUCUUUUUCUGUAUUCUGUGUCCAAAUAUAAAUAUUUUAUUAUUUUAUUAAGCAGAUAGCAUGGUGAAAAUUCUCUCUUCUUUGUUUUUACUCUCUAAGAAUGAUCACUAGAACUUAUUUCAUUUUUAUUUGCUUCAGAGUGCAGUAUAUAAGUUAGAUGAUUAUUUUUUGUUUGUCCGGAAUGUAAAAAAAAAAAGAAGAAAUUAACAAAAGAUCUGGAACUUGCACUCAACAUAUUGCUCCCAGAGUUCUGGAAGUGAGAUACCAAGGGAUUGAGAGUUAUAGGUUGUGUUUAUACUGAAUCAUGUUUUAAUGAAGGCUAAUCUAGUUUGCUCUACUUUGUCAAAAUUAAUAAUUGUGUAUAACCUUAUGUCACCAGAGUUUGUUGUAUAAGCGCAUGUUGGUAUUAUUUUUAUUAACAAAAUAAGUUAGGGAUCAGUUGCUUAGUUAUUAGUGAUUCUUUGCCAUGUAAUGUUUGUGGUAUUAAGUACUGUAGUUGAUAUAUAUGUAGUAUCUGCUACAUAAACAGCCAACCAAAGUAUUGUACAGUAAAUUUAUUACUAUAAAUGAUAACCGGUGGUUCUCUUUGGUGUUAUCAAGGGUAUGCCUGCAUAUGUGAAUUAAUUUGUGUGUGUGUAAUAAUAAUAAUAAUAAUAAUAAU
Molecule: unclassified non-coding RNA, 5003 nt
Filed under: Homarus americanus (American lobster)
Lineage: Eukaryota; Metazoa; Arthropoda; Malacostraca; Decapoda; Nephropidae
Description: glucose-induced degradation protein 4 homolog, transcript variant X1
Source: RNAcentral